GGGGGCGAACAGGUUUCGACGGGACUGCACCGGCGAACGUGGCGUGCCGAGGUACAGGAGGCCUCGUUAAACCCCUGUAAAAAACACGUGCCGACGAUCACGUCGAGUACGCUGUCGCUGCCUAAUUUACUUUAGGCUCGACGUGGAGCCCACCGGGUGCCGAUGCCCGGUGGUCGCUCCAUAAUAUUCAUCGGCUGGCCAGCAGCGCGGUCCCGACGUCUGCUGGCGAGACUUACCGGGCUGGUCUGCGAUCAGGGUUGUCUGUCACCUCGAUCGCGGACGAGACUCAAUGACAGACUGCGCAGGGAGCAGCGCCGCGCGUACCGGUCCGGACCCGGGUUCGAUUCCCGGCGCCUCCACCA
Molecule: transfer-messenger RNA, 362 nt
Filed under: Gemmatimonadales
Lineage: Bacteria; Pseudomonadati; Gemmatimonadota; Gemmatimonadia
Also listed under: 1 other name
Description: JAGGAG01 sp017889745 X1 Standard tmRNA
Rfam family: transfer-messenger RNA
About the family: Bacterial tmRNA, also known as 10Sa RNA or SsrA, is named for its dual tRNA and mRNA-like properties. Its role is to liberate the mRNA from a stalled ribosome.
Source: RNAcentral